This 105-nucleotide microRNA precursor is filed under the name Marmota monax (woodchuck). Lineage: Eukaryota; Metazoa; Chordata; Mammalia; Rodentia; Sciuridae. The record is from RNAcentral.
AAUGGAAUUGUUAGAUCAAAUGAUAAUUCUGUUUAAAUUUUUUUUGGAGGAAUUGGCAUACUAUUUUCCAUAGCAGCUGCACCAUUUUUCAUUCCUACUAGCAAU